GUUGAGUCCUGUGAAAAAUGUACACAGCUAAAUGGAGCAUAUGCUGUCAAUACAGCAGACAGGAUCUAUUACAGUAUCUGAGUGCCCCCUAGCGUAUGUAUCGUUUCUGCCUCAAAUCAACAUUCAAUUCGGAGGAGCCUUCCGACAUGGAAACUGCCUGGGUCUCCCGUCUCUCACAGUGACCAAAGUAGCGUGCGCCCAUUUCUAACUGAUUCAUGUUUAAGAAAAUGUCUUCUUAUUGACUUGGACGUCAUCGAGGUAUGCGUGUUGAUCACUGUUUCGCCUUCGUAGGCACAGGGAUUUUUUGUAUUUUGCUUUUAAUCAUUGAUUGAUAUAGGCUGAUAAUUGGUCUUGAGCGUAACACUUUCAUUCUAAAGCAAACUGCAUGGUCUAAAUGAUAUCACUGUCUGCAGUUUAUUGUAUUGUUUUAUUGUGGAUUCUACUUGACCACUCCAUUGUUGACAGAUCUGCUCCUGGCUUUCCUGAGUGUCAGACUGCUGAGACAUGGAAGGGAUGUGGCCACCUAUUGAAAUGUGAUGGUGGAGAUUAAAAGGAUUUGUCGGGAAGAGUGUGCUUUGGUGUACAUUCACUUUAUGCCAAAAGGGAUUGAUUACAGUCAUUGUUUUAUUUGAAGGCCCAAUGUGGCCUUUGACUAAACUAAACUAAAUUCUGAAAAUCAUGUUAAUUGAUGAACGUCACUGAAUGAUUCUACAUGACCUGGUGUAAAUAACGUUCACUUGAUGACCUUUUGCAAAACUAUAUCACAGAUAAUAGAUUAUGAUGUAAAGAUUUGUAAAAGCAUUAGACAUUGCUUUAUUGCAGAUCUUAUGUUGUCAUGUUUUAACAGAAUGUAUAGAUUUACACCAAUACUAAUGAAUAAUACUAUCUUUAAAUUGUAGAUCACAAAUGUAAGACAUGAAUAAAAUCUACAAAGCAACUUA
Long non-coding RNA from Oncorhynchus nerka (sockeye salmon), 941 nucleotides. RefSeq lists it as uncharacterized. The transcript has 2 exons. The record is from RefSeq and is a predicted model, not a curated record. NCBI's taxonomy places the organism in Eukaryota, Metazoa, Chordata, Actinopteri, Salmoniformes, Salmonidae.